UUAAGUGACGAUAGCCUAGGAGAUACACCUGUUCCCAUGCCGAACACAGCAGUUAAGCCCUAGAACGCCUGAAGUAGUUGGGGGUUGCCCCCUGUUAGAUACGGUAGUCGCUUAGC
RNAcentral lists this ribosomal RNA (116 nucleotides) under Streptococcus suis. Lineage: Bacteria; Bacillati; Bacillota; Bacilli; Lactobacillales; Streptococcaceae. The record is from RNAcentral. RNAcentral also lists the same sequence under 6 other names.